This 494-nucleotide ribosomal RNA is filed under the name uncultured bacterium. Its description in RNAcentral is "partial 16S ribosomal RNA". It matches the Rfam family "Bacterial small subunit ribosomal RNA", at positions 28 to 507 of the family's 1533-position model. The record is from RNAcentral.
GACGAACGCUGGCGGCGUGCUUAACACAUGCAAGUCGAACGGAAAGGCCUGCUUUCCCUUGUGGAUUGCGGGUACUCGAGUGGCGAACGGGUGAGUAACACGUGAGUGAUCUGCCCCCAACCUGGGUAUAAGCCUGGGAAACUGGGUCUAAUUCCCGAUAGGACUGCAGGGUGGUGCCUGUGGUGGAAAACGAUUUUCUAGUGGUUGGGGAUGAGCUCGCGGCCUAUCAGCUUGUUGGUGGGGUAAUGGCCUACCAAGGCGGCGACGGGUAGCCGGCCUGAGAGGGUGGACGGCCACAGUGGGACUGAGAUACGGCCCAGACUCCUACGGGAGGCAGCAGUGGGGAAUACUGCACAAUGGGCGGAAGCCUGAUGCAGCGACGCCGCGUGGGGGAUGACGGCCUUCGGGUGGUAAACUCCUUUCGACCGCGAGGAAGCCACCUGGUUGGAAGGGUGGUGACGGUAGUGGUAGAAGAAGCACCGGCUAACUACGUG